RNAcentral lists this transfer RNA (74 nucleotides) under Oscillospiraceae bacterium. RNAcentral's name for it is "tRNA-Gly". It matches the Rfam family "tRNA". Rfam says of the family: Transfer RNA (tRNA) molecules are approximately 80 nucleotides in length. Their secondary structure includes four short double-helical elements and three loops (D, anti-codon, and T loops). Further hydrogen bonds mediate the characteristic L-shaped molecular structure. tRNAs have two regions of fundamental functional importance: the anti-codon, which is responsible for specific mRNA codon recognition, and the 3' end, to which the tRNAs corresponding amino acid is attached (by aminoacyl-tRNA synthetases). tRNAs cope with the degeneracy of the genetic code in two manners: having more than one tRNA (with a specific anti-codon) for a particular amino acid; and 'wobble' base-pairing, i.e. permitting non-standard base-pairing at the 3rd anti-codon position. Lineage: Bacteria; Bacillati; Bacillota; Clostridia; Eubacteriales; Oscillospiraceae. The record is from RNAcentral.
GCGGGUAUAGUUCAUCGGUAGAAUGCGACCUUCCCAAGGUUGAAAGGUGGGUUCGACUCCCAUUACCCGCUCCA